Molecule: long non-coding RNA, 276 nt
Filed under: Selaginella moellendorffii
Lineage: Eukaryota; Viridiplantae; Streptophyta; Lycopodiopsida; Selaginellales; Selaginellaceae
Description: long non-coding RNA (SMOE_LNC002466)
Source: RNAcentral
AAGGCCACCUUCAAGACGAUAUUGAGAAUGUAAAUGCCGGAAAGGUAAGUCAUCAGUAAGUGAUGUAGAAUUCUCAAACCCAUCUCGAAGCCUUCGAAUUCAUGGCUCAAUCUUUUGAGCCUCGCGAACCUCAUCAAGAGAAGGUAGAUCUUGCUCUGCAUCUUGUGGACACUGAACGUCAAGUAUAACAAUCGCCGACGGCACAGAAUCCUCGUCUAGAAAAUCCACAGAUGCUGGAACAACAGGCUCGUCAAAAACAUGAGAAGAGAAUGAAGA